This 204-nucleotide long non-coding RNA is filed under the name Mytilus galloprovincialis (Mediterranean mussel). The record is from RNAcentral. Lineage: Eukaryota; Metazoa; Mollusca; Bivalvia; Mytilida; Mytilidae.
UUUUAGGAAUUUUUCGUUUUUUGUGACAUGUUGUUGGAUGUGUUUCAUAGCCAAGAACGUCUGGAGGUCUGAGGCAUGUUGUUUUAUUUGAUCUAAAUGGCUUUGGUAUUCUGUAAUCUCCCUUUCUUUCUCUUGUAUGGAUGAUAUUACGCAGCUUAUUUUCUUGUUUUUAGUUUCCUCAGCGGCAUCCAACUCUUUCAUCAA